Molecule: ribosomal RNA, 447 nt
Filed under: uncultured bacterium
Lineage: Bacteria
Description: bacterial SSU rRNA
Rfam family: Bacterial small subunit ribosomal RNA
Source: RNAcentral
UGGGGAAUCUUGGACAAUGGGCGCAAGCCUGAUCCAGCCAUGCCGCGUGGAUGAUGAAGGCCUUAGGGUUGUAAAAUCCUUUCGCCGAGGACGAUAAUGACGGUACUCGGAGAAGAAGCUCCGGCUAACUUCGUGCCAGCAGCCGCGGUAAUACGAAGGGGGCUAGCGUUGUUCGGAUUUACUGGGCGUAAAGCGCGUGUAGGCGGGUCGUUAAGUUGGGGGUGAAAUCCCGAGGCUCAACCUCGGAACUGCCUUCAAAACUGGCGACCUGGACCUAAGUAGAGGCAAGUGGAAUUGCGAGUGUAGAGGUGAAAUUCGUAGAUAUUCGCAGGAACACCAGUGGCGAAGGCGACUUGCUGGACUUAUGGUGACGCUGAGACGCGAAAGCGUGGGGAGCAAACAGGAUUAGAUACCCCCGUAGUCCCUGAGCGGGCUGGCAAGGCGCAU